This 405-nucleotide ribosomal RNA is filed under the name uncultured rumen bacterium. Its description in RNAcentral is "bacterial SSU rRNA". It matches the Rfam family "Bacterial small subunit ribosomal RNA", at positions 354 to 776 of the family's 1533-position model. The record is from RNAcentral.
GUGGGGAAUAUUGCACAAUGGGGGAAACCCUGAUGCAGCGACGCCGCGUGAAGGAUGAAGUAUUUCGGUAUGUAAACUUCUAUCAGCAAGGAAGAAAAUGACGGUACUUGACUAAGAAGCCCCGGCUAAAUACGUGCCAGCAGCCGCGGUAAUACGUAUGGGGCAAGCGUUAUCCGGAUUUACUGGGUGUAAAGGGUGCGUAGGUGGCAAGGCAAGUCAGAAGUGAAAGCUCGGGGCUCAACCUCGGAACUGCUUUUGAAACUGCCAGGCUAGAGUGCAGGAGAGGUAAGUGGAAUUCCUAGUGUAGCGGUGAAAUGCGUAGAUAUUAGGAGGAACACCAGCGGCGAAGGCGGCUUACUGGACUGUAACUGACACUGAGGCACGAAAGCGUGGGGAGCAAACAGG